This 497-nucleotide ribosomal RNA is filed under the name uncultured bacterium. RNAcentral's name for it is "partial 16S ribosomal RNA". It matches the Rfam family "Bacterial small subunit ribosomal RNA", at positions 28 to 507 of the family's 1533-position model. The record is from RNAcentral.
GAUGAACGCUGGCGGCGUGCCUAAUACAUGCAAGUCGAGCGAACAGACAAGGAGCUUGCUCCUCUGACGUUAGCGGCGGACGGGUGAGUAACACGUGGAUAACCUACCUAUAAGACUGGGAUAACUUCGGAAAACCAGAUCUAAUACCGUAAAAUAUAUUGAACCGCGAUGUUCAAUAGUAAAAUGCGGUUUUGCUGUCACUUGUAGAUGGAUCCUCGCCUCAUUAGCUAGUUGGUAAGGUAACGGCUUACCAAGGCAACGAUGCGUAGCCGACCUGAGAGGGUGAUCGGCCACACUGGAACUGAGAAACGGUCAAGACUCCUACGGGAGGCAGAAGUAGGGAAUCUUCCGAAAUGGGCGAAAGCCUGCCGGAGCACCGCCGCGUGGGUGAUGAAGGUUUUCGGAUCGUAAACCUCUGUUAUUAGGGAAGAACAAAUGUGUAAGUAAAUAUGCACGUUUUGACGGUACCUAACCAGAAAGCCACGGCUAACUACGUG